Molecule: ribosomal RNA, 460 nt
Filed under: uncultured bacterium
Lineage: Bacteria
Description: partial 16S ribosomal RNA
Rfam family: Bacterial small subunit ribosomal RNA
Source: RNAcentral
CCUACGGGUGGCAGCAGUGAGGAAUAUUGGUCAAUGGGCGCGAGCCUGAACCAGCCAAGUCGCGUGAAGGAUGACUGCCCUACGGGUUGUAAACCUCUUUUAUAAGGGAAUAAAGUGAGGCACGUGUGCCUUUUUGUAUGUACCUUAUGAAUAAGGAUCGGCUAACUCCGUGCCAGCAGCCGCGGUAAUACGGAGGAUCCGAGCGUUAUCCGGAUUUAUUGGGUUUAAAGGGUGCGUAGAUGGGUUGUUAAGUCAGUGGUGAAAGUUUGCGGCUCAACCGUAGAAUUGCCAUUGAUACUGGCAGCCUUGAGUACAGUUGAGGUAGGCGGAAUUCGUGGUGUAGCGGUGAAAUGCUUAGAUAUCACGCAGAACCCCGAUUGCGAAGGCAGCUUACUAAGCCGCCACUGACGUUGAUGCACGAAAGUGUGGGUAUCAAACAGGAUUAGAUACCCCUGUAGUC